Molecule: long non-coding RNA, 1429 nt
Filed under: Struthio camelus australis
Lineage: Eukaryota; Metazoa; Chordata; Aves; Struthioniformes; Struthionidae
Description: lncRNA (ENSSCUG00000010975.1)
Source: RNAcentral
CCCAGCAGAAAACGAAACCAGGGAAAAAGGCGGAUAGCUUUCUGUUGGGAUAGCAAGUUGAAACGGCUCUGCAGGACUGGCAGGAGGACUUUGCCCACCCAGCAGUGGAGAACGCCUUGCAGAACCAGAGGUGCAGAGGAGUUUGGCAGCACUACAUCUCAUCAACGUUCGCUUCUGCUGUUUAGGGGCAACUUCUUAUCCACUUCUCUGAGAGAGCUUGACGACCAUCUGUGGGACAAACGAAGAGCAGAAAUGAGCACUGGUCGCUGUCCAGUGACCAGGCACAGAGCGUGGAGGCCAGGCCUUUGGGUGCUGCGCGUGCCCCUGAUGCCAGCUGCACUGCUUCUCCUCCUUGGCCCGUCUGGUGAGCUAUCUCUUUGUCUGGUAGGAGGGGGGAUGAAUUUUAGGCACUGGAGGUCUUCCAUCUAGCCUUGCCAUUGGCCUUCUGAGUAACAUUUUCUCGAUGUAGAGGCAUAUGCAGGGAUGCCAUGUUGUCUCCAGUGGCAUUAAGUGUGAGCAGUGAAAGAGGGAGCAAGUUCAGCUCUUAUCUCCCACCAUGAAUGAUGUGUGGUGGCAAGGACCACAUUCAGGGCUGGCUGGUAACUGGUGCAGGCAGCUACUGGUGAUGGAAGUGGUGCAGAUGUGGGCCUCGGAGCAGGCAGUCCCCCUGGGCCGUUUGUGCUCCCAGUUCACAAGAAGGCACGUACAGCCAAGGGACAGGAGCUGCUGAAACCCGUUUAUGCAGAGGCGAUGGGCAGGAUGAGUACAUGUCUCCUGAGAAAACGAGCUAGGCUUGGUAUCCUAAAUUGUUCCUGGUGGGUGCUCUCAGACAAGAGUACUGGUGACUUUCAGUCUUGUUUAUGCUGAUUGGAAAGCUUUUAAGUUAAACUGGAAAAAGCUAUUCCUAUUCUAGACUGAAAGGGUCCAUACGAGAGCUGUGUUAGUGUAAUUAUGCUGGUUUGACUUUAUCAGUGUAAUUAUAGUGAUGCAGUUGGUAAAACCUUUCCGCCUCAACAAAGCUACGACAAGACAAAGCAAGCUCGAAGCCAGGCAAUUAAGGUGUAGUUAGACACUAUAAUUGGAUUAAAUCAGUUUAAAAAGUUCCCACCCCCUCAGCUGGUGCUUCCCAUCCCCGGAGCUCCUCUUCUGGUGGCAGUGCCUGCUCCCUGAGCCGAGACGCAGGGACUCCCCGCGGGAGCCCGUUUCUGCGCAGAAUUAGAGCAGGUUCAUCUCAGCCUCCACGAGGGGGGCGAAGGCAGCUCCUUGCAGGCUGCUUAGGCUCAGCUGCCAGAGCAUCUGACCGCAGCCCUGGCAGCACUGCGCUGCCCGGAGAGGCUGCGCACGCAGCUGCCGGAGGCCUUCUGUGAACGGGCUCUCCACGAGGUCCUUUCAGCUCAGACCUGGUUCUCGCUGAAGGUUUUCAGCAGUG